Molecule: unclassified non-coding RNA, 211 nt
Filed under: uncultured fungus
Lineage: Eukaryota; Fungi
Description: sequence contains ITS1
Source: RNAcentral
UUAGUUUAUUUAACUAGUUUUCAGAUUUGACAUGGUUAAAAGAAUUUAAUUGUGGGCUAUUGGCGAGCGCUGGCCAAGGGUUAAACAACUCUCGGCGGUCCGGUUAAAGACGGGCCCGCCAAAGCAACAUGGUAUUUAUACAAAGGGUUGGAGAUCGGGCCUAAGAGACCCUAACUCGUUAAUGAUCCUUCCGCAGGUUCACCUACGGAAA